GCAGGUCGCAGGUGAAGUUGACAUCCUAAUUAAGUAUCAAACGGUUAGUUAUACUUUGCCCGCCUGAGACACAAAGUUUGGAGAGGCCUCUGGAAGAAGAAACUCUGAAGCAGUCAUAGUUUGAACUCACAACAAACAAACAAACUUAUCAACAAGGAGAGUUAUCCUGUUUUCCAGCGUGGCUAGAUGAGGACGCUAGAUGAUGUGCUCUUCUGGGACAAAUGACCGACACAGGAAUAUUGUGGAUAUUAUGGACAACUUCAUCUCCACUCAAGAACAGGAAAUGGACACGAUGGCUCAAGCAAUCACCGGCAACAUCGCAUCAUUACACUCACAGGAUGAAACUCCAGAACGAAGCGGAUAACAAAAAAAAAAAAAUCUUAGCACACGUCCCUGGUAUCUAAUCUAAGCAGCAACUCUGUGGCUGUGAAAUGAAGCCAAUGUGGAAGGUGCCAAAAACUGCAAUUUUUUCAAACGGCCACUUGAGGCUGGCUACAAAACAGGUCAUCUCUCAACAAGCCCCCAUGGUCUCUGUAGAUAAUUUUUCAGUUCAUGACAACUGUACUGAAUUUCUAUUUGCCUCUAACUCAGAAUUCUAUUAGGGCUUAAGGCAUGCAUAAACAACAGCCUGGCUGCUUUGAUUGACAGGUGGGUGCCAUUACAGAUGGCUUGUUUGAGCACCGAGGUGUCAUUCAGCCUGCCUCACGUCCAUAGACAAUCCACGUCUUUGCCCAUUUUUAGGUUAGCCAGAAGGAGACAGAGGCAGGGCUGUCAAGAUGGCAGAGCCACCACGCUGAGCUUCAAAACAGCUCUUCAUAAACCUGUGGGUGACGUCACAGAUACAACGUCCAUUCUUUAUACUGUCAAUGGGUGAAAGUAGCUUAGUCCAUAGCUCUGGAACUCCACCAUCCCUCUACAAUUGCAUGUCUGUAAGCCCUGUGUGUCUUGUGUGUGUGUACAUAGUUAUAUUUCAUGCAUAUGUAUGUUAAAAUCACUCUUCUUCCUUUCUCCUCUCUUUCUAUCCUCAUUCAAAAAACAUCUUAACAGUCUAUUCAUGUGGGUGAGUAUUCACGGGUGUCAGACUGAAUAAAUAAUCUUUUGCCAAACAGAAAUGCAUUUGUAAUUGUCAAGUAAAGUAAUAAUGUGUGGGGAAUAAAUCAAUUAAAUGUACUUACAUUUUUUUUCAACACCACUGCACAAAUAAGGAAUCCAAUUUGGGGUUAUGCAGAACUGUUGUAAUUAAGGGAAACAUCCAUGCAUGAUGAGAGUAAUUCAUGAUAAUUAUAUUCAAUCGUAAUUACUAUAUGUGGUCUGAAAAGUUUAUUAAGUAUACUUAACUUGUAAAUAAGGUAUUUGCAUACUAAUAAAGUCUGCAUGGAUACAGUACUGUUUGUUAAAGCCUGAAUCAUUGAUUAGCAAAUUAUUGGACCAUCGUUCCAGUCCAGCAGAGAGCACUUUGGUUGUUACUUGGUGUAUUAUCUGUUGAAACAACAGUUGUACACCAGAAACAUACCAUAGGGGACUAUCAGCUGCUGAAGUGCUGUUUUUGUUUACACCCACAUUCAGGUAGGAAUGGAACACGUAAUACUUUUUUCUGGGGGUUUAUUGUGAAACUGGUUCAUAACUUUGGGAAUUUGCCAUUCAGUUGGGAGCUACUGUAGAAUGCUGGAAUUUGACUACUUGACAGAAUAUGCGAUUGAUUACUUCUAAUAAAUGUGUAACAACAUUUUGUCAGUGAGGAUCAGUGUAGCCUGGGGAGUUUAGUAUAGCUGUUCUGCAGCAUCAGAGAGAACCCUCUGUCCAUGACUAAAGAGAUAUUGCUGACCCCCUCUUGUACAGGCCAAAGUCCAUCCCUGAGGCUGUGGUGUUAGCUCAUAACCAUAUCUGCUCUCAGCAUAUUAUAUUUUCCUCCAGCAUUCAAUCAUUGCCUUAGGCAGGCAGGAGAAACAAACGAAAAAAAACAAAACAAGAGACAUCUGAUGGACAGAUAGAUGGAGUAGGAGAGUCGGAAAGAGCAGUAGGAGUGAAAAAGUGACUCAGAUAUUAAAGAGCAAGAAACAAACAGGAGGAGGGAGGUGCAUUUCUUGUUGCCUGCUGUGAUAUUGUCAGUGGAGAGUAGUAACGAAGCAGAUCGUUUAGCCAAGGUGGCUCUCUAAUUGUGUAGCUGACAGCAAUUAGAUGGCGCUCGUUAAAGCAAUGCCCUCAUUGGGUUAGACCACUCGAGGCAGAGGGAGUUGCUGCAGAGUGCAAGUGUGUCUUAAACUGUGGGGCAGGACCCAAAAUUGGUGGACAGCCAAGGUGACUGUUGGCGGGUUACCAUAUGUCACACUAAUUAAUUAGACUGGAUCUUUUGGUAAAAUAUCUUAAUUUGGCUUCUUGUUUGGUUAGGU
This is a long non-coding RNA of Larimichthys crocea (large yellow croaker), 2390 nucleotides long. RefSeq lists it as uncharacterized. The transcript has 3 exons. The record is from RefSeq and is a predicted model, not a curated record. Lineage: Eukaryota; Metazoa; Chordata; Actinopteri; Sciaenidae.